Molecule: ribosomal RNA, 714 nt
Filed under: Dicrateria rotunda
Lineage: Eukaryota; Haptophyta; Isochrysidales; Isochrysidaceae
Description: SSU rRNA
Rfam family: Eukaryotic small subunit ribosomal RNA
Source: RNAcentral
AUUAAGUUGCUGCAGUUAAACUCNUCGUAGCUCGGAUUUCGGGGCGGCUUCUUUGCCGUCUGCCGAUGGGUAUGCACUGACGCGGGCGUCCUUCCUUCCGGAGACGCGUCCUACUCUUAGCUGAGCGGGGCGUGGAGACGGAUCGUUUACUUUGAAAAAAUCAGAGUGUUUCAAGCAGGCAUCAUCGCUCUUGCAUGGAUUAGCAUGGGAUAAUGAAAUAGGACCUUGGUGCUAUUUUGUUGGUUUCGAGCACCGAAGUAAUGAUUAACAGGGACAGUCAGGGGCACUCGUAUUCCGCCGAGAGAGGUGAAAUUCUCAGACCAGCGGAAGACGAACCACUGCGAAAGCAUUUGCCAGGGAUGUUUUCACUGAUCAAGAACGAAAGUUAGGGGAUCGAAGACGAUCAGAUACCGUCGUAGUCUUAACCAUAAACCAUGCCGACUAGGGAUUGGAGGAUGUCCACUUUUGACUUCUUCAGCACCUUACGGGAAACUAAAGUCUUUGGGUUCCGGGGGGAGUAUGGUCGCAAGGCUGAAACUUAAAGGAAUUGACGGAAGGGCACCACCAGGAGUGGGAGCCUGCGGCUUAAUUUGACUCAACACGGGGAAACUUACCAGGUCCAGACAUUGUGAGGAUUGACAGAUUGAGAGCUCUUUCUUGAUUCCAUGGGUGGUGGGGCAUGGCCGUUCUUAAUUGGGGGAGUGAUUUGUCUGG